Molecule: long non-coding RNA, 1154 nt
Organism: Seriola dumerili (greater amberjack)
Lineage: Eukaryota; Metazoa; Chordata; Actinopteri; Carangiformes; Carangidae
Exons: 4
Source: RefSeq, a predicted model, not a curated record
UUUCACUUUCACAUUCUCACAUUUCUUUGUGACGCGGAUGGUUUUCUCCUCUUAAGCUCCACUUGCUGAGGACUGGAGGCAGCUGUUCCCGCCUGAAUCAGCCUGUGGAGGAGGCGGAGAUGAGCCGCUGCUCUCCCGCUGUCUGAGCCACUAAAUGCGGCCUGAGCUCUGCCGGACAGCCGCUGGAGAACAGCUGUGACUCUCUACCUGUGAGUAAAGAGACUGACUCACCUCACAUCAGCCUCUUUCUGGUGAUUUCUGUAGUUGUGAAUCACGUCACUGCAGCUUCAUGACGCCAUCUAGUGGACGGAUGGUAGAAGUACAGCAGCUGAUGGCAGCUUCCUCUGCCUCACACUGAUAUGAAACAGAGAAGAAGAGCCAAUCAGUGGAGGAGCAGCUGGAGAAAUGAUGUACAUUUGAGUUGAUGUGCAGAUGAAUGAUGUGUGUUUCUCUCCACAUGAAGGUAGAAAGUGUGUGUGAGCUGAUGUGGAUGUGAACUCAGCAGCAUGGAUCAGUGUGAGGACAGAGAGGAGGGAGCCCCUCCCUCUAACAUGUCAAAGGAUGUUAUCAUUGAGUUUAAAGGGCGACGUCCAUCAGCUGAUCAGAUGUAAGCUGUAACUGACAGUGAGACUCAGUGAGCUGAAAGCUACAAAGCAGUUUGUCGUCGUAAACUCAAAUGUAACCUGAAGAAGAAGUUCCAGUUUGUGUUUGAGGGGAUUUCUAAAGCAGGAAACCCAACCCUUCUGAAGCAGAUCUACACAGAGCUCUACAUCACAGAGGGAGGGACUGGAGAGGUCAAUGAUGAACAUGACAACCACUCUGUGGAUCCAUCUUCUGUUUCAUGUCAACUUUUCUCUCCUUCUUUCUACAUGUUUGCUCUUUUCUCUGACAUCUGUCAUGUCAUCUACUCCCUGCUGGUCCUCACUUGUCCUGUAGUUGCCCUCAGUGUGUUCCCACCAUCUCCAGUCACCUGAUCCCCUCAUCCAGCAAGUAGAGGAAAUAGUUUGGGUGUUGAAGACGUCAGUUGAUGGAUUAUUAGUUGUCAGGUUUCUCAGCGUGUCAGAGUCGGAGCAGGAAGCUGCUGCAGCAGCCUGCACACACAGAGGACUGGUGAAGGACAACAAGCAGAGGAUUUCAGCUCAUGGUUUCUUCAC